Molecule: ribosomal RNA, 2922 nt
Filed under: Escherichia coli
Lineage: Bacteria; Pseudomonadati; Pseudomonadota; Gammaproteobacteria; Enterobacterales; Enterobacteriaceae
Description: partial 23S ribosomal RNA
Rfam family: Bacterial large subunit ribosomal RNA
Source: RNAcentral
GUUAAGCGACUAAGCGUACACGGUGGAUGCCCUGGCAGUCAGAGGCGAUGAAGGACGUGCUAAUCUGCGAUAAGCGUCGGUAAGGUGAUAUGAACCGUUAUAACCGGCGAUUUCCGAAUGGGGAAACCCAGUGUGAUUCGUCACACUAUCAUUAACUGAAUCCAUAGGUUAAUGAGGCGAACCGGGGGAACUGAAACAUCUAAGUACCCCGAGGAAAAGAAAUCAACCGAGAUUCCCCCAGUAGCGGCGAGCGAACGGGGAGGAGCCCAGAGCCUGAAUCAGUGUGUGUGUUAGUGGAAGCGUCUGGAAAGGCGCGCGAUACAGGGUGACAGCCCCGUACACAAAAAUGCACAUGCUGUGAGCUCGAUGAGUAGGGCGGGACACGUGGUAUCCUGUCUGAAUAUGGGGGGACCAUCCUCCAAGGCUAAAUACUCCUGACUGACCGAUAGUGAACCAGUACCGUGAGGGAAAGGCGAAAAGAACCCCGGCGAGGGGAGUGAAAAAGAACCUGAAACCGUGUACGUACAAGCAGUGGGAGCACAGAGCAAUCUGUGUGACUGCGUACCUUUUGUAUAAUGGGUCAGCGACUUAUAUUCUGUAGCAAGGUUAACCGAAUAGGGGAGCCGAAGGGAAACCGAGUCUUAACUGGGCGUUAAGUUGCAGGGUAUAGACCCGAAACCCGGUGAUCUAGCCAUGGGCAGGUUGAAGGUUGGGUAACACUAACUGGAGGACCGAACCGACUAAUGUUGAAAAAUUAGCGGAUGACUUGUGGCUGGGGGUGAAAGGCCAAUCAAACCGGGAGAUAGCUGGUUCUCCCCGAAAGCUAUUUAGGUAGCGCCUCGUGAAUUCAUCUCCGGGGGUAGAGCACUGUUUCGGCAAGGGGGUCAUCCCGACUUACCAACCCGAUGCAAACUGCGAAUACCGGAGAAUGUUAUCACGGGAGACACACGGCGGGUGCUAACGUCCGUCGUGAAGAGGGAAACAACCCAGACCGCCAGCUAAGGUCCCAAAGUCAUGGUUAAGUGGGAAACGAUGUGGGAAGGCCCAGACAGCCAGGAUGUUGGCUUAGAAGCAGCCAUCAUUUAAAGAAAGCGUAAUAGCUCACUGGUCGAGUCGGCCUGCGCGGAAGAUGUAACGGGGCUAAACCAUGCACCGAAGCUGCGGCAGCGACACUAUGUGUUGUUGGGUAGGGGAGCGUUCUGUAAGCCUGUGAAGGUGUGCUGUGAGGCAUGCUGGAGGUAUCAGAAGUGCGAAUGCUGACAUAAGUAACGAUAAAGCGGGUGAAAAGCCCGCUCGCCGGAAGACCAAGGGUUCCUGUCCAACGUUAAUCGGGGCAGGGUGAGUCGACCCCUAAGGCGAGGCCGAAAGGCGUAGUCGAUGGGAAACAGGUUAAUAUUCCUGUACUUGGUGUUACUGCGAAGGGGGGACGGAGAAGGCUAUGUUGGCCGGGCGACGGUUGUCCCGGUUUAAGCGUGUAGGCUGGUUUUCCAGGCAAAUCCGGAAAAUCAAGGCUGAGGCGUGAUGACGAGGCACUACGGUGCUGAAGCAACAAAUGCCCUGCUUCCAGGAAAAGCCUCUAAGCAUCAGGUAACAUCAAAUCGUACCCCAAACCGACACAGGUGGUCAGGUAGAGAAUACCAAGGCGCUUGAGAGAACUCGGGUGAAGGAACUAGGCAAAAUGGUGCCGUAACUUCGGGAGAAGGCACGCUGAUAUGUAGGUGAAGCGACUUGCUCGUGGAGCUGAAAUCAGUCGAAGAUACCAGCUGGCUGCAACUGUUUAUUAAAAACACAGCACUGUGCAAACACGAAAGUGGACGUAUACGGUGUGACGCCUGCCCGGUGCCGGAAGGUUAAUUGAUGGGGUCAGCGCAAGCGAAGCUCUUGAUCGAAGCCCCGGUAAACGGCGGCCGUAACUAUAACGGUCCUAAGGUAGCGAAAUUCCUUGUCGGGUAAGUUCCGACCUGCACGAAUGGCGUAAUGAUGGCCAGGCUGUCUCCACCCGAGACUCAGUGAAAUUGAACUCGCUGUGAAGAUGCAGUGUACCCGCGGCAAGACGGAAAGACCCCGUGAACCUUUACUAUAGCUUGACACUGAACAUUGAGCCUUGAUGUGUAGGAUAGGUGGGAGGCUUUGAAGUGUGGACGCCAGUCUGCAUGGAGCCGACCUUGAAAUACCACCCUUUAAUGUUUGAUGUUCUAACGUUGACCCGUAAUCCGGGUUGCGGACAGUGUCUGGUGGGUAGUUUGACUGGGGCGGUCUCCUCCUAAAGAGUAACGGAGGAGCACGAAGGUUGGCUAAUCCUGGUCGGACAUCAGGAGGUUAGUGCAAUGGCAUAAGCCAGCUUGACUGCGAGCGUGACGGCGCGAGCAGGUGCGAAAGCAGGUCAUAGUGAUCCGGUGGUUCUGAAUGGAAGGGCCAUCGCUCAACGGAUAAAAGGUACUCCGGGGAUAACAGGCUGAUACCGCCCAAGAGUUCAUAUCGACGGCGGUGUUUGGCACCUCGAUGUCGGCUCAUCACAUCCUGGGGCUGAAGUAGGUCCCAAGGGUAUGGCUGUUCGCCAUUUAAAGUGGUACGCGAGCUGGGUUUAGAACGUCGUGAGACAGUUCGGUCCCUAUCUGCCGUGGGCGCUGGAGAACUGAGGGGGGCUGCUCCUAGUACGAGAGGACCGGAGUGGACGCAUCACUGGUGUUCGGGUUGUCAUGCCAAUGGCACUGCCCGGUAGCUAAAUGCGGAAGAGAUAAGUGCUGAAAGCAUCUAAGCACGAAACUUGCCCCGAGAUGAGUUCUCCCUGACUCCUUGAGAGUCCUGAAGGAACGUUGAAGACGACGACGUUGAUAGGCCGGGUGUGUAAGCGCAGCGAUGCGUUGAGCUAACCGGUACUAAUGAACCGUGAGGCUUAACCUUACAACGCCGAAGGUGUUU